CUCGCCACCCGAGGAGAGGGAGGAUGAGAAGACCGAAGCCGUAGAGGUGCGGCCUUGGCGCCCCAUGGCGGUAACGAUCUUGCGGGUCGCGGCCGUUCUCCGAAUAGAUCUUAAGCGCCCCGUCGUUUCCUCGUAGAUGAGCGCCGAGAUGCGCUUCGCCUCGCCCAUACGCGGCAGCCGCCCGAUCGCCGGCUUCUUGAUCCUCUAGUUAUUGUUCCUUGGAACUUUCCGGUGCCGUUUCGUCCCGCCUUCUGCUGCGCACCCGGAUCGCGGAUCUGGUGGACUCCCGCGGCGGAUGGUAUGCCGUUUAUUUGAUGGUCUUCGUAUGCUCGCUUUGCCCUUGAGAUGGGAAACCGAUCCGUGGCAGCUUCUUGCUUCUUUUUCUGACCGUCGUAUUCACGAAGGUCUCUGUUCGUUGGUGGGAACGAGAAGUUGCCGGAUUCAACCUCGAGGAAAAGAACGCAGAUGAUGACCUGAAUCUGGAGCUGGGGUUGCAGCCAUGGAGUAGUCUGCCGGAGCCAGUGAUGAUGUUCACCUGCUCCUACUGCCCCCGCAAGUUCCACAGCUCCCAGGCUUUAGGAGGUCAUCAGAACGCUCACAAGCUGGAGCGGAGCCUCGCCAUGCAGCGCCGGGAGCUGGCCUUGGCCAUCCGUGAGAAGACAGACGGCUUCGGAUCUACCAGCAAUGGCGGUGUGGAUGAUAGGAAGAAGCUAGCAGUAGAGAUUGACUUGUCCUUGAGACUAUGAGAACGUUGUUAAGUUCCGAGUCAACUUGUUCCAUGUUCUUCUUCCUUGUAUUCUGAUUAAAUAGGUCAGAUCAUGAUUAGAUCAAGGUGGACUACUGUUUGAAGUAGUGAUAUAGUCUAUACUAUUGGAUGCGUUCAUUAAGAGUGCGGUCUCGUGAGUUGCCUUUAUAAGUUACUAUAGAUUUUUUUUUUCUUUAAAUUUGUAUAGAUUAACGGACGAAUUCCAGAAAACACUUUUGUUUUUGGGCUUUUAA
Molecule: long non-coding RNA, 999 nt
Organism: Musa acuminata AAA Group (dessert banana)
Lineage: Eukaryota; Viridiplantae; Streptophyta; Magnoliopsida; Zingiberales; Musaceae
Exons: 2
Source: RefSeq, a predicted model, not a curated record